This 904-nucleotide ribosomal RNA is filed under the name Aspergillus flavus var. flavus. Its description in RNAcentral is "LSU rRNA". It matches the Rfam family "Eukaryotic large subunit ribosomal RNA", at positions 38 to 957 of the family's 3401-position model. The record is from RNAcentral. Lineage: Eukaryota; Fungi; Ascomycota; Eurotiomycetes; Eurotiales; Aspergillaceae.
GCAUAUCAAUAAGCGGAGGAAAAGAAACCAACCGGGAUUGCCUCAGUAACGGCGAGUGAAGCGGCAAGAGCUCAAAUUUGAAAGCUGGCUCCUUCGGGGUCCGCAUUGUAAUUUGCAGAGGAUGCUUCGGGUGCGGCCCCUGUCUAAGUGCCCUGGAACGGGCCGUCAGAGAGGGUGAGAAUCCCGUCUGGGAUGGGGUGUCCGCGCCCGUGUGAAGCUCCUUCGACGAGUCGAGUUGUUUGGGAAUGCAGCUCUAAAUGGGUGGUAAAUUUCAUCUAAAGCUAAAUACUGGCCGGAGACCGAUAGCGCACAAGUAGAGUGAUCGAAAGAUGAAAAGCACUUUGAAAAGAGAGUUAAAAAGCACGUGAAAUUGUUGAAAGGGAAGCGCUUGCGACCAGACUCGCCUCCAGGGUUCAGCCGGCAUUCGUGCCGGUGUACUUCCCUGGGGGCGGGCCAGCGUCGGUUUGGGCGGCCGGUCAAAGGCUCCCGGAAUGUAGUGCCCUCCGGGGCACCUUAUAGCCGGGAGUGCAAUGCGGCCAGCCUGGACCGAGGAACGCGCUUCGGCACGGACGCUGGCAUAAUGGUCGUAAACGACCCGUCUUGAAACACGGACCAAGGAGUCUAACAUCUACGCGAGUGUUCGGGUGUCAAACCCGUACGCGCAGUGAAAGCGAACGGAGGUGGGAGCCCCCUCGUGGGGCGCACCAUCGACCGAUCCUGAUGUCUUCGGAUGGAUUUGAGUAAGAGCGUAAAUGUGGGGACCCGAAAGAUGGUGAACUAUGCCUGAAUAGGGCGAAGCCAGAGGAAACUCUGGUGGAGGCUCGCAGCGGUUCUGACGUGCAAAUCGAUCGUCAAAUUUGGGUAUAGGGGCGAAAGACUAAUCGAACCAUCUAGUAGCUGGUCC